UUAAGCGACUAAGCGUACACGGUGGAUGCCCUGGCAGUCAGAGGCGAUGAAGGACGUGCUAAUCUGCGAUAAGCGUCGGUAAGGUGAUAUGAACCGUUAUAACCGGCGAUUUCCGAAUGGGGAAACCCAGUGUGUUUCGACACACUAUCAUUAACUGAAUCCAUAGGUUAAUGAGGCGAACCGGGGGAACUGAAACAUCUAAGUACCCCGAGGAAAAAGAAAUCAACCGAGAUUCCCCCAGUAGCGGCGAGCGAACGGGGAGGAGCCCAGAGCCUGAAUCAGUGUGUGUGUUAGUGGAAGCGUCUGGAAAGGCGCGCGAUACAGGGUGACAGCCCCGUACACAAAAAUGCACAUGCUGUGAGCUCGAUGAGUAGGGCGGGACACGUGGUAUCCUGUCUGAAUAUGGGGGGACCAUCCUCCAAGGCUAAAUACUCCUGACUGACCGAUAGUGAACCAGUACCGUGAGGGAAAGGCGAAAAGAACCCCGGCGAGGGGAGUGAAAAAGAACCUGAAACCGUGUACGUACAAGCAGUGGGAGCACAGAGCAAUCUGUGUGACUGCGUACCUUUUGUAUAAUGGGUCAGCGACUUAUAUUCUGUAGCAAGGUUAACCGAAUAGGGGAGCCGAAGGGAAACCGAGUCUUAACUGGGCGUUAAGUUGCAGGGUAUAGACCCGAAACCCGGUGAUCUAGCCAUGGGCAGGUUGAAGGUUGGGUAACACUAACUGGAGGACCGAACCGACUAAUGUUGAAAAAUUAGCGGAUGACUUGUGGCUGGGGGUGAAAGGCCAAUCAAACCGGGAGAUAGCUGGUUCUCCCCGAAAGCUAUUUAGGUAGCGCCUCGUGAAUUCAUCUCCGGGGGUAGAGCACUGUUUCGGCAAGGGGGUCAUCCCGACUUACCAACCCGAUGCAAACUGCGAAUACCGGAGAAUGUUAUCACGGGAGACACACGGCGGGUGCUAACGUCCGUCGUGAAGAGGGAAACAACCCAGACCGCCAGCUAAGGUCCCAAAGUCAUGGUUAAGUGGGAAACGAUGUGGAAGGCCCAGACAGCCAGGAUGUUGGCUUAGAAGCAGCCAUCAUUUAAAGAAAGCGUAAUAGCUCACUGGUCGAGUCGGCCUGCGCGGAAGAUGUAACGGGGCUAAACCAUGCACCGAAGCUGCGGCAGCGACACUGUGUGUUGUUGGGUAGGGGAGCGUUCUGUAAGCCUGUGAAGGUGUGCUGUGAGGCAUGCUGGAGGUAUCAGAAGUGCGAAUGCUGACAUAAGUAACGAUAAAGCGGGUGAAAAGCCCGCUCGCCGGAAGACCAAGGGUUCCUGUCCAACGUUAAUCGGGGCAGGGUGAGUCGACCCCUAAGGCGAGGCCGAAAGGCGUAGUCGAUGGGAAACAGGUUAAUAUUCCUGUACUUGGUGUUACUGCGAAGGGGGGACGGAGAAGGCUAUGUUGGCCGGGCGACGGUUGUCCCGGUUUAAGCGUGUAGGCUGGUUUUCCAGGCAAAUCCGGAAAAUCAAGGCUGAGGCGUGAUGACGAGGCACUACGGUGCUGAAGCAACAAAUGCCCUGCUUCCAGGAAAAGCCUCUAAGCAUCAGGUAACAUCAAAUCGUACCCCAAACCGACACAGGUGGUCAGGUAGAGAAUACCAAGGCGCUUGAGAGAACUCGGGUGAAGGAACUAGGCAAAAUGGUGCCGUAACUUCGGGAGAAGGCACGCUGAUAUGUAGGUGAAGUCCCUCGCGGAUGGAGCUGAAAUCAGUCGAAGAUACCAGCUGGCUGCAACUGUUUAUUAAAAACACAGCACUGUGCAAACACGAAAGUGGACGUAUACGGUGUGACGCCUGCCCGGUGCCGGAAGGUUAAUUGAUGGGGUCAGCGCAAGCGAAGCUCUUGAUCGAAGCCCCGGUAAACGGCGGCCGUAACUAUAACGGUCCUAAGGUAGCGAAAUUCCUUGUCGGGUAAGUUCCGACCUGCACGAAUGGCGUAAUGAUGGCCAGGCUGUCUCCACCCGAGACUCAGUGAAAUUGAACUCGCUGUGAAGAUGCAGUGUACCCGCGGCAAGACGGAAAGACCCCGUGAACCUUUACUAUAGCUUGACACUGAACAUUGAGCCUUGAUGUGUAGGAUAGGUGGGAGGCUUUGAAGUGUGGACGCCAGUCUGCAUGGAGCCGACCUUGAAAUACCACCCUUUAAUGUUUGAUGUUCUAACGUGGACCCGUGAUCCGGGUUGCGGACAGUGUCUGGUGGGUAGUUUGACUGGGGCGGUCUCCUCCUAAAGAGUAACGGAGGAGCACGAAGGUUGGCUAAUCCUGGUCGGACAUCAGGAGGUUAGUGCAAUGGCAUAAGCCAGCUUGACUGCGAGCGUGACGGCGCGAGCAGGUGCGAAAGCAGGUCAUAGUGAUCCGGUGGUUCUGAAUGGAAGGGCCAUCGCUCAACGGAUAAAAGGUACUCCGGGGAUAACAGGCUGAUACCGCCCAAGAGUUCAUAUCGACGGCGGUGUUUGGCACCUCGAUGUCGGCUCAUCACAUCCUGGGGCUGAAGUAGGUCCCAAGGGUAUGGCUGUUCGCCAUUUAAAGUGGUACGCGAGCUGGGUUUAGAACGUCGUGAGACAGUUCGGUCCCUAUCUGCCGUGGGCGCUGGAGAACUGAGGGGGGCUGCUCCUAGUACGAGAGGACCGGAGUGGACGCAUCACUGGUGUUCGGGUUGUCAUGCCAAUGGCACUGCCCGGUAGCUAAAUGCGGAAGAGAUAAGUGCUGAAAGCAUCUAAGCACGAAACUUGCCCCGAGAUGAGUUCUCCCUGACCCUUUAAGGGUCCUGAAGGAACGUUGAAGACGACGACGUUGAUAGGCCGGGUGUGUAAGCGCAGCGAUGCGUUGAGCUAACCGGUACUAAUGAACCGUGAGGCUUAACCUU
This 2903-nucleotide ribosomal RNA is filed under the name Escherichia coli DEC3E. Its description in RNAcentral is "bacterial LSU rRNA". It matches the Rfam family "Bacterial large subunit ribosomal RNA". Lineage: Bacteria; Pseudomonadati; Pseudomonadota; Gammaproteobacteria; Enterobacterales; Enterobacteriaceae. The record is from RNAcentral.